AGGAGAGUGGAUCCCUCCAAACUGGUACGCAGAACAAGUGCAGCACAGGCAGCGGCUGUGGAAGCUUCCCCACACAGCCCCCGCCAGUGCGCCUUGUUCUGCAGGGGUCACCUCUGGAGCUAAGAGGGUGACGGCGGAUUAAUCGCUUUCGAUCCUUGUCUUCC
This 164-nucleotide small RNA is filed under the name Dromaius novaehollandiae (emu). RNAcentral's name for it is "TUC338 (ENSDNVG00000016302.1)". The record is from RNAcentral. Lineage: Eukaryota; Metazoa; Chordata; Aves; Casuariiformes; Dromaiidae.